This 291-nucleotide ribosomal RNA is filed under the name uncultured bacterium. Its description in RNAcentral is "partial 16S ribosomal RNA". It matches the Rfam family "Bacterial small subunit ribosomal RNA", at positions 773 to 1060 of the family's 1533-position model. The record is from RNAcentral.
GUGGAUUAGAUACCCUGGUAGUCCACGCCCUAAACGAUGUCAACUAGGUGUUGGGUGGGUAAAACCAUUUAGUACCGGAGCUAACGCGUGAAGUUGACCGCCUGGGGAGUACGGCCGCAAGGUUAAAACUCAAAGGAAUUGACGGGGACCCGCACAAGCGGUGGAUGAUGUGGAUUAAUUCGAUGCAACGCGAAAAACCUUACCUACCCUUGACAUGUCCAGAAGCCCGAAGAGAUUUGGGUGUGCCCGAAAGGGAGCUGGAACACAGGUGCUGCACGGCCGUCGUCAACU